CGGGGUGAGUAAUGUAUGGGGAUCUGCCUGAUGGGGGGGGAUAACUACUGGAAACGGUAGCUAAUACCGCAUAAUGUCUAUGGACCAAAGCGGGGGACCUCCGGGCCUCGCGCCAUCAGAUGAACCCAUAUGGGAUUAGCUAGUAGGUAAGGUAACGGCUUACCUAGGCGACGAUCCCUAGCUGGUCUGAGAGGAUGAUCAGCCACACUGGGACUGAGACACGGCCCAG
RNAcentral lists this ribosomal RNA (229 nucleotides) under uncultured bacterium. RNAcentral describes it as "partial 16S ribosomal RNA". It matches the Rfam family "Bacterial small subunit ribosomal RNA", at positions 104 to 334 of the family's 1533-position model. The record is from RNAcentral.